UGGGGAAUCUUAGACAAUGGGGGAAACCCUAUCUAGCCAUGCCGCGUGAGCGAUGAAGGCCUUAGGGUUGUAAAGCUCUUUCAGCUGGGAAGAUAAUGACGGUACCAGCAGAAGAAGCCCCGGCUAACUCCGUGCCAGCAGCCGCGGUAAUACGGAGGGGCUAGCGUUGUUCGGAAUUACUGGGCGUAAAGCGCACGUAGGCGGAUUUAGUCAGUCAGAGGUGAAAUCCCAGGGCUCAACCCUGGAACUGCCUUUGAUACUGCUAGUCUUGAGGUCGAGAGAGGUGAGUGGAAUUCCGAGUGUAGAGGUGAAAUUCGUAGAUAUUCGGAGGAACACCAGUGGCGAAGGCGGCUCACUGGCUCGAUACUGACGCUGAGGUGCG
RNAcentral lists this ribosomal RNA (382 nucleotides) under uncultured bacterium. RNAcentral's name for it is "partial 16S ribosomal RNA". It matches the Rfam family "Bacterial small subunit ribosomal RNA", at positions 355 to 755 of the family's 1533-position model. The record is from RNAcentral.